AGUGAACGCUGGCGGUAGGCCUAACACAUGCAGGUCGAACGGCAGCACAGUAAGAGCUUGCUCUUACGGGUGGCGAGUGGCGGACGGGUGAGGAAUACAUCGGAAUCUACUUUUUCGUGGGGGAUAACGUAGGGAAACUUACGCUAAUACCGCAUACGACUUACGGGUGAAAGCAGGGGAUCUUCGGACCUUGCGCGAUUGAAUGAGCCGAUGUCGGAUUAGCUAGUUGGCGGGGUAAAGGCCCACCAAGGCGACGAUCCGUAGCUGGUCUGAGAGGAUGAUCAGCCACACUGGAACUGAGACACGGUCCAGACUCCUACGGGAGGCAGCAGUGGGGAAUAUUGGACAAUGGGCGCAAGCCUGAUCCAGCCAUACCGCGUGGGUGAAGAAGGCCUUCGGGUUGUAAAGCCCUUUUGUUGGGAAAGAAAAGCAGCAGGUUAAUACCCCGCUGUUCUGACGGUACCCAAAGAAUAAGCACCGGCUAACUUCGU
Molecule: ribosomal RNA, 491 nt
Filed under: uncultured bacterium
Lineage: Bacteria
Description: partial 16S ribosomal RNA
Rfam family: Bacterial small subunit ribosomal RNA
Source: RNAcentral